Long non-coding RNA from Oreochromis aureus, 2368 nucleotides. NCBI's taxonomy places the organism in Eukaryota, Metazoa, Chordata, Actinopteri, Cichliformes, Cichlidae. The record is from Ensembl.
AAUUUGGGCAAUAACAGUUGUAUUGAUGUAUAGCAACUUGAAAUGCUCCCAAAAAUGGCUCCACAGCAUGUAAAAAUAUAAAGAUAAGGUCUGGCGGACUUGGUUCUAUGGUAGGUCUUAAAGGGUUAAAACAAAGGGAAAAUGAUGAAAAAUUAAUUUAGGAAAGAAAUCAAAACAUGAUUCUAUAAAUCUUCGCUCUUCUGUGGUGCGUCAAGUUGACAUCUACCCAUCAAAAACCUGUUGAGAGCAGUGCUCAGUCCACUCAUGAGGCCAUCAUUCAGGAAUGAGCUCACUGACUUAAGCCCCUUUUCUAUUUAGUACCUACUUGGAGUUAGUACCUACUACUGGCCACGACUCAACUUGCCACGAUUAGUUUUCCAUUAUAACCCAGUGUGCAUGCUUGUUGUCAUAACAACGUGUCUGUGCAUCUCACAACGUAAUUAUUAUGCAAUGCAAAUGCUAUAAGAAAGCGAACAUAUACCUGCUGCUUUUUGUCAGACUUGGGGAACACGUGUUGUUUUUUGUAGCCAUUUUCCUCAUUGCCUCAUUUCAAAAAUGGUAGUUUUAAUUUAUGUGAAUGAGACGCUCUCAUGACUCAUCGAGUGACACUACUGACCAGCCAACUGUUGUCAUGCAGUAGGACAACGUCACAUUUUAGUACCUGCUCAGAUCGCUUGGAACCCUGGCCGAGAAGGUACUAAAACAGUACCUGGUACCACGCAUUUUGGCCAAAUGGAAAACCCUGAAAACCGUGCCGUCGUUCCAGGUAGGUGGAAAAGGGCCAUUACAUCGUAAUGAUGACAUCAUCAGCAUCAUCACAAUUUAGAGCAUGCAGAAAAAGUCAGAGAGGCCACUAAACAGAAGACCUCAUCAUACUUGCUUUGGAGGAUCUUUAUGAACUUUUUCAGCUGUUGUGGCAGCAUCCUUCAUCUGAUUGGCCGGCUCAGUCUGACGUAGCACGAGGGAAAAACCUGGAGCGUCACCAAGUGAAAGAGAAACUACAGCAUGCACUGCCAGAAGCACGGUGGUGAUUUCCAAACCAUUUACAGGAAAGCCUCGGCCUUCAGCAACAGCAGCUGUGUGAGUUUAUCACAUUCAUGUCACAUGUCUGUUUGGACCAUGGAACAGAUCCCGAUUCCUUAGAGUGAUCACCGAGACAACCAGAGAAGUGAAGAGUCCCUUUAAACCUGGAGGAGAGGAGCACCAGGGACAGAGCCAAGGUCACCACAGAGAACGGGAUGCUUUCAUAUUCCCGUCCUGGGAGGUUGUACGGGAUGACGAUGCGGUUCCUUCCUGGUGGGCCGUGUUUAGCUGAGAGAGACUCAAAGUGUUCCCACACUCCAUCAUCAUCUCGAAGAGGGCUAACCGUGAUGUUUGGGACCAUCUGUGCUCCAGCUUUCUUCAUAAAAAACUCUGUGCUGAGGCCUCAGUUUUCCUGUAGCGACACCGUACACUAAACCAGAAGUGAUGCAGUUCCAGGGAGAAUACAGGAGCACGUCAGUGAUGGUGGGCAGAGGCAGGUAACAGCUGGCUGCGAUCAUGAAGUCUUUGAUUGCUCCAUGAGCCACGAAGCUGAUGUGAACAUUAUCACUGUGGUUCUUCUUCUCCUCCUCAUCAAUGUGUUUCUUCAGAAAGUCAAACAUGUCUGUGAAGGCAUCAGAGUUUUUUCUCAGCCACUGCAGGGUGACUUCAUCUGUGCAGCUUCUCAUUGCCAGCUUUGUCAAUCUUUCCCUUUCAUCACAGCUCCUCAGUCUGUCUGCUCUGCAGGGUGUAAAUACAGCUAACCUCUGAAACAAUCUUCUGAAACAGGAAUUAUGGAAAAAACAUUUUAAGCAUGACAAACAUUUAAUCUGUCCACAGAUGGAUCCUGAAACAAAAUAAAGCCAAAAUCUCCUCGUUUCAUUUCACUCUUUGUUUCCAGACUUACUCCAGUUCCUCGUCUCUCUCCAUCUCCUCAGAAGUUUGACUGUCUUUAGCGUUGUCCUUCAGGUGCUUCCUGUGGUUAAAAAUUGACAACAUGUCUUUCAGAUCUCAGCGUGCUUGUGUCCCCACUGCCAACCAGUUGCAGCAGAUGGCCCCGCCCCUCCCUGAGCCUGGUUCUGCCGGAGGUUUCUUCCUGUUAAAAGGGAGUUUUUCCUUCCCACUGUUGCCAAAGUGCUUGCUCAUAGGGGGUCAUAUGAUUGUUGGGUUUGUCUCUGUAUGUAUUAUUGUGCGAUCUACUGUACAAUAUAAAGUGCAUUGAGGCGACCUUGAGCAGUCAGCCAUGUUCUCCAUGUCCUGUUUUAUCAAGAGCAAUAAAAGAAGCUGAGACGUCGCAUUCAUUCAUUUUAUUAUUAUUGUAUUAUUAAUUAUUUUGGAACAGCUGUAA